Long non-coding RNA from Oryza sativa Japonica Group (Japanese rice), 1069 nucleotides. RefSeq lists it as uncharacterized. NCBI's taxonomy places the organism in Eukaryota, Viridiplantae, Streptophyta, Magnoliopsida, Poales, Poaceae. The record is from RefSeq and is a predicted model, not a curated record.
ACUUGGGGGGAGGGGGCCAGCUGGCGCACGCGUUGCCGCGCCAAUUUGCCACACCCGAGCGGAGCACCCCGUCGGAUCCGUACGUAAUACACGCGUCGUCCAUCGAGAGCGGUGCUGCAGAGGUGGCGUGCUGCCGCUGGGAUGCAUCAAUUUUUUUUAUUUACAUUUUGAGGCUUUUCUUUUCAUCGUCCGCUCUGUUCCAUUCGCCGCCGUCCUCCAUUCCGUUCUUCCUCAGCUCCCGUCGGUGGUGCUUGAAAGAGUCCGUUUUGGUGCUGGCCUUCUUCAGGUCGUCAAGUUCGCCUUGGCGCGCGGUGCUUCUCUUCUUCAUCGUCAGGUCGUCAAGUUCAUCUUUGUGGUACGUGUUUCUCUUCUUCAGGCCGUCAAGUGUGUCUUAGUGGAAGUUCAAGUUCGUCUUGGUGGUUCUCUGCUCUUUUCCGGUCAUCUUGGUGUCUCGUUCCGAGAGUUCUCGGUGGUCGUGUGUCGUGAAGCGUCAGGUCCCAUUGUUGGAACUUGGAAGCUCCUUGAAGAAGAACGUGUCCCGGUUUUGAGGUAGAAGAAACAAAAGCUAAGCCUGCAAAACAUGGCGGCGAGGGUGAGCUGGGAAAUGGCCGCCCGGCGUCGGCGUGUGGCGGAGGAUAUUGCUCCGCCCUACGCCGUGCUGUUGUUCGUCUUGCUGUUGGCGUGCUGCGUGCGGCGCCGCCGCCUCCUCCUCAUGCCGGAGGAUUUAUUCCGGAUCGGUAACCAAUUUACUGGUAUAAUAAAACAUCCGGAUUAGUUCCACAACUCUUAACUAGUGGAUUGAUUCUCGGUCUAUUAUUGUCCAUAUCAUGCGGUCCGGAAUAAAUCCCGAUCUCUCGUUGUAUCUAUAAUAAAUUUCUUACUAUUCUUGUCACUCCUAGCCAGGAUUGAAUCAUCAUGUAACCGAACAAGUCCUAAGGUGGUCGUCUCCUUUUUAGGCGGAGAGGGAUGACACAUAUCUGGUUUUGCCACAAAGUGCCUCAGUUUUGUAAGUUGAGGGAUGACACAUAUUUUUUCGGUUCUGGAUAAUUUUGUAAUUUGGAAACAAGAU